UACGUAGGGGGCAAGCGUUAUCCGGAAUUACUGGGUGUAAAGGGUGAGUAGGCGGCAUGGUAAGCCAGGUGUGAAAGCCUUGGGCUUAACCCGAGGAUUGCAUUUGGAACUAUCAAGCUAGAGUACAGGAGAGGAAAGCGGAAUUCCUAGUGUAGCGGUGAAAUGCGUAGAUAUUAGGAAGAACACCAGUGGCGAAGGCGGCUUUCUGGACUGAAACUGACGCUGAGGCACGAAAGUGUGGGGAGCAAACAGG
Molecule: ribosomal RNA, 253 nt
Filed under: uncultured bacterium
Lineage: Bacteria
Description: partial 16S ribosomal RNA
Rfam family: Bacterial small subunit ribosomal RNA
Source: RNAcentral